Molecule: long non-coding RNA, 557 nt
Organism: Chiloscyllium plagiosum (whitespotted bambooshark)
Lineage: Eukaryota; Metazoa; Chordata; Chondrichthyes; Orectolobiformes; Hemiscylliidae
Source: RefSeq, a predicted model, not a curated record
UACUUCUGAAACCAGCAGUAUGUCACCACCAGUUCAAGCUUGCAUCAGUGUGUAGCUGGACUCCUCGCAAAAGUAGUGACUCUGUUACAUUCUGAACAAUGUGCAGCAGCUGAGAGGGAGCCCAAACCUCACAGUCUUCACAUGGAGUGACACCUGCUGAGCUCUAGAUUACCAUCAAUUGCACAUAAAGUGGAUGCCAUAACCAAUGGUAUGAAAUGAUGACUAUUUCACAAGUGAAGCUGAUUGAUCAACUUGAGUAAUGAGGAAUUGAUAACCAGUUCACAUUACUGUGGCAGAAAGGUCGAAAACCUGAACCAGGCUUACUGAAGUUUCUCAAGACUGAAUGCAAAGAGUUGAAUAUUGCAACUCUGAAAAGCUGAAACGAAGACUGACAUUACACCAGAUAUUGCAUCCUGGCCAAUACUUAUCGCUUGAACAACUCACCCACGAAGCCCCAAACUUAUCUGGUGAUUAUCACAUUGCCAAUGGUGGACAACCUCCUCUAUUUCCUCUACUGUAACAUCAACUUUGAAAUGUUUCAUGGGGGGCCUGCAGAA